Molecule: transfer RNA, 66 nt
Filed under: Anabolia furcata
Lineage: Eukaryota; Metazoa; Arthropoda; Insecta; Trichoptera; Limnephilidae
Description: tRNA-His
Source: RNAcentral
AUUUAAAUAGUUUAAUUAAAAUUUUAAUUUGUGGAAUUAGAGAUAUAACUAAGUUUAUUUUAAAUC